AUGUUAACUGUCAAAGCACAUGCUAGUGUAUUAUUCAGAGCAUAAAAUUGUAUCAUUAAGCCAUUAAAUUAAAACUUAAAAAAUAACUGCUCUUAUAUUUCUUAAAAACAAAAUCCGGCAAUUAUAAAACGUUCAAUCGUUACCAUUAAGUGCUCUCCUGCGACAUUAAAUUGUUCUUGGUUUUUUGUUUCCUGUGUGUGACCGACGAGCGAACGAGAAAGACUUCAAUUGUUCCUGUGUGUACAUAUUUCUUUUGCACAUUUAUUUUCUUAAAACGAAUCACGAGGAGAUCCCAAUGGAUUGCCUGCGCACGUGAUUUGGAAGUGCCAUCGGAAGGCAGGUAAUGGAAGGUGCAAUGCAUCAAUAUGAACGCACCGUUUUAUUGAUAAUAACGGUGCGUUCCAGCACCUUGCACGCCCUCCUUCCAAGCCGCACAGGUGUGAUCAACAAGGCAAUCCACAGGCCGACGGUGAAACCGCACCACCAGCACCUGCCGUACAGGUUGCAGCUGCCUCCACCGCGGCCAAUGCAAAUAUGCUGCCGCCUGAAGUUAUCGAAGGGCUUCAGGAAAUUGAAGAGAUAUUUCAGGAUGCUCUACGGCAGGUGCAGAUCAUAAAACGUGCCCUAGGCCUUUAGUGUAAAUAAAAACAACAUAUUUGAUAUUAAUCAGUUCAUUGCACUAAUAGACAAAAGCGUUAACAUGUCCACUACUAUAAAAACGACUAGUAGAGCAUUCGUAGAAUCUUUCUGCAUUUUCCGUUUUACUCUACAGAAAACCAAGCAGAAAACCUAGAGAAAACAUGUCCGAACGAAUGAACGUGUUCAACAGAUUGUCUAUUAGUGUUAUUAUACUGUCCUAGUUUUUUUCAACUUCAAAAUGCAACAGAGACGGGACUAGUCAUUCCUACCUAAUUCGGGACCAAGGAAUUCAGUGGUGAUAACCGGUUUUUUUAGUUGGCUCAUGACUAAAAAGAAAAAAAUUUUUUUUUGAAGUUUCCAUUUUUCACUAUUCUGGGAGAUGAGGUGUUUAUCAAUCGAAUAUUGUGAAAAUUGGUAUUGGGGGGUUUUUUGGCACGAGAAAACCGAUUCUGGCAUUUAUUCCAAGAUUUUUUUUUAGUCAUGAGCCAACUAAGAAGAACGGUUAUCACCACUGAAUUCCUUGGCCCCCUCCCCCGAAUUAGGUAGGAAUGACUAGUCC
Molecule: long non-coding RNA, 1198 nt
Organism: Contarinia nasturtii (swede midge)
Lineage: Eukaryota; Metazoa; Arthropoda; Insecta; Diptera; Cecidomyiidae
Exons: 3
Source: RefSeq, a predicted model, not a curated record